RNAcentral lists this ribosomal RNA (484 nucleotides) under uncultured bacterium. Its description in RNAcentral is "partial 16S ribosomal RNA". It matches the Rfam family "Bacterial small subunit ribosomal RNA", at positions 28 to 523 of the family's 1533-position model. The record is from RNAcentral.
GACGAACGCUGGCGGCGUGCUUAACACAUGCAAGUCGAGCGAGAACGGGUUAUAGCUUGCUAUAAUUGUCAGCUAAGUGGCGCACGGGUGAGUAAUGUAUAGGUAAUAUGCCUCUUACUAAGGGAUAACAAAUGGAAACGUUUGCUAAUACCUUAUACUCCUUAUUAACAGAAGUUAAUAAGGGAAAGAUUUAUUGGUAAGAGAUUAGCCUGUAUUGUAUCAGUUAGUUGGUGGGGUAAUGGCUUACCAAGACUAUGACACAUAACUGGUUUGAGGGGAUGAUCAGUCACACGGGAACUGAGACACGGUCCAGACUCCGGCGGGAGGCAGCAGUGGGGAAUAUUGCACAAUGGACGAAAGUCUGAUGCAGCAACGCUGCGUGGAGGAUGACACAUUUCGUUGCGUAAACUCCGUUUAUAUGAGAAGAUAAUGACGGUAUUAUAUGAAUCAGCACCGGCUAACUCCGUGCCAGCAGCCGCCGCCU